This is a long non-coding RNA of Nerophis ophidion (straightnose pipefish), 1292 nucleotides long. RefSeq lists it as uncharacterized. NCBI's taxonomy places the organism in Eukaryota, Metazoa, Chordata, Actinopteri, Syngnathiformes, Syngnathidae. The record is from RefSeq and is a predicted model, not a curated record. The transcript has 2 exons.
CUUUUUACGUAAUGUCUCUCAAGUUCAUUUCACUUUUGUUAUGAGCAAUGCUGUGGGCGUGUCUUCCAGAGGCGUGACUAGAUGACUUGCAUAUUGUGCAUCUAAAAAGGCUGACGCAGUUGUUCGUAACGACUUUUUGUCAACCUGAUGCUUUGAAUAGAAAUAACUUGUCAAGCAUAUUCUGUCUCCUCCUCGAAGUGCAAUUAUUACAUUUUUUGUUGCCAAACAUGGGGGCUACGGCGAGUGCAACGAUUAUUUUAGUCGAAAUAGUUUCUAUGAAGGACGUGGGAAGGAUGAAACACAAGCGAGAAGGGAUGAGAUCUAGUGUUGACGACACAAUUGAUCUUAUCGACGACGAAUUGCGUAGAAACAAAGUAAAUGUUGUAAUGUUGAUCAGUUUGCUGGAGAUUUUGUCCACCGAGGAGCAAAGCUUGAUGGAACUGGACGGUGAAAUAGAACCACUCAUUUCAAAGGACGACAUUGAGAGGGAGACCAUCACAUCCGAGGCAUAUAAGAAGAAGAUCAGAAUGUGCAAAUCCCGCGCACACGCUAUGGCGAAAGCUUUAAAAUGACAUCCCAACAAAAUGUUAAUCUUUCAAUCUUGGAUUCAGCUGUAAUAGCCUCAUUGAAGCUGCUGUAUUGGACCCGCUUUGGACUGGACUCUCGCGACUGUGUUGGAUCCAUUGUGGAUUGAACUCUCACAGUAUCAUGUUAGACCCGCUCGACAUCCAUCGCUUUCCUCCUCUCUAAGGUUCUCAUAGUCAUCAUUGUCACCGACGUCCCACUGGGUCAUUAUUGUCACCGAUGUCCCACUGGGUGUGAGUUUUCCUUACCCUUAUGUGGGCCUACCGAGGAUGUCGUGGUGGUUUGUGCAGCCCUUUGAGACACUAGUGAUUUAGGGCUAUAUAAGUAAACAUUGAUUGAUUGAUUGAAGACCUGCUUGGUUGCUUAUCAGCUGGGCACUUACAUUCUCUCCCCUUAGUCAUUAUUAUAAGUGGUUUAUGUUGCUGAACGAGUGUGGUGUUCCAAGGAGGCAAUACAAAUGGGUGGAGGACAAGCUGCAUGGAGUACAGGACAUCUGCAAGCUGCACACUCUUUUCAUUCAACCUAUGUUGCAAUCUUCUAUAUUUACUCUUGGGCUAUGUUUGAUCAUUUAUACUGCUAUAAUCAACAUUAAGGCAUAUAUAUUGGAAGGUUGGCUAGUGGUAUUCGCGACUUUUUAGCAUAUAUUUGAAAAGUACUGUCUUGCUAUUCAAUUUUCUUUGCAAUAAAUGUGUUUUCCUGAAAGACAA